Non-coding RNA from Salvelinus sp. IW2-2015, 1093 nucleotides. Lineage: Eukaryota; Metazoa; Chordata; Actinopteri; Salmoniformes; Salmonidae. The record is from RefSeq and is a predicted model, not a curated record.
CAAUGAUCCGAAACAGAACGGAUCAUCAGCAGGACCGCUUGGAAUCUUGCGCACAAAGAAUUCCGAUGAAAAUCCGCGGAAUUUCAAAUAGGGUUAGGAUUUAGGAUUCUUAAACUAAAAAUGCACUACCAGCUGCCAGAAAAGUAAACAAAAAUUGACUUGUUGCUGAAUUUGCAUUUUUUGGGGGAAUGCAUUUCAAUUACCCGAAAGUGUUUCACUCUGCCAACCCUUCCCUAUGUGGGUGGUGCAGACAGCUCAGUGAGUGAUUGGCACUGUAGUUGUCUGAUGAUCGUAGUAACGUUAUCUAGCUAAAAAUGCCAAGAUUUACAGCAGCAGAGGAGAUGAGGAGUAAACACUUGGCGACAGUUGAACUGUACGAGGAUGAAGGAGUACUUUUCUGCGAAGACUGUCAUAAUUCAAUCAACUAACUUACAUACGGCGAAAACUGCCGUGGAGCGCGACUGGUCACUCAGACACAAAAAUACGAGGGCCAUUGUGGACCAGUCCAAACAAGAACACAGACCCUGGCCCCUGUCUGGCAAAGAUCCCCUCCACAGCUGACGGAAAGGAGUUCAUAUUGGACUUCACAGGAACAUUAAUCGAGAGAAGAGGCCCAAGUUCUCCACAUUUCUUUAGGAACACUGCAAGCAGGGAGGGCCUAUCCCAGCGCCAUCCCAUCUGCGUACAGAGUUCAUUCGAUGCCAGCCUUAGCUCACUUUGAUACAUCUGUGCCUCCCCACUAUCUCAGUGGAUGUAGAGAGACUUUUCUUACAUUAUCAGAUGCUACUUAGUCAGCAUAGGAGGAGCCUCACAGAUAAUCUUUUAAAUAUGUUGAUUGCAAAGUACAAAGCAUUGAGCACUAAAAAGCAUGUCAGUCACACACCCAACUCUCCCCCUCUUUCUGUGUUUUGGUUUGAAGCAAUUUGAUAAUAGUUAUGGUGAAUGGAACAACGAGACAAAAUUGAUAAUCUAAUCUAUUUGGUGUUUAUGCAUUUAUAGCUAGAUUCAAUGUAUUAUUUGUGUUUAUAUGCCUUUGCACUUUGUCUAUAUUCUUCCAUAAGGAAACAUUUACAAUAAAAGGAUCAUAUAAAGA